Molecule: ribosomal RNA, 253 nt
Filed under: uncultured bacterium
Lineage: Bacteria
Description: partial 16S ribosomal RNA
Rfam family: Bacterial small subunit ribosomal RNA
Source: RNAcentral
UACAGAGGGGGCAAGCGUUGUUCGGAAUUACUGGGCGUAAAGAGCGUGUAGGCGGCCGCACAGGUCCGUUGUGAAAACUGGAGGCUUAACCUCCAGACGUCGACGGAAACCGUGUGGCUAGAGUCCGGAAGAGGAGAGUGGAAUUCCUGGUGUAGCGGUGAAAUGCGCAGAUAUCAGGAAGAACACCAAUGGCGAAGGCAGCUCUCUGGGACGGUACUGACGCUGAGACGCGAAAGCGUGGGGAGCGAACAGG